CAUGGAAAGCUCACACACUCAACUCAGUCUCGGCACCUAAUGGCUCAAAAACUGAUUCAACCUCAUCCAUGUUUACUUCUUCCAGAGAUGCUGGAUUCCACUUUGGAUUCUGCAAAGAGGCAAGAAAAUUCAAUGAAUGUUAUCACUAUUGGAAAGGACAUCAUAGAUUCAGUGCCUGCCUUCUAUUCUAUCUGCCAUUUUGACACGAAGCUACCUCAUUUUACAAAACAAGCUAAUAUCUUUAACUUGCAUCCAGUUUAAUGUGAUUAUCAACUUGGCCAGCAAUCAUGCCCUCCUUGCAGUGGCGGAGCUAGGGGGCAAAUCAAGCGGGGGCCGAUUCGAGGUAAAUGACUAGUAACCAACAAUUUUAUGUAUGCAUGAAGCCAUCGUCAUCGAGUGUGUGCUCAGUCUACCACAAGCCCCUUUGGAAAUUACUCUAAGGUAGGGGGGCCGUAGCCCACUAUGGCCCUAAUGUAGCUCCGCCAGUGCCUCCUUGCAAGACUCAAGUAAAUAGCAGGACCAAUUGUUGAGAAGUCUUUCUAAUUUCAAGAUUGGCCCUGCCCCUGACCCCCUCAUUUCUCAAAAAGUGAUUUAUAAUGUGCAACAAUUGGAAAUUUUAGUAUGUCAUCUACUUUGGUUUGUUUCAGCUUCUGGACAGUUUUGGAGCCACAGGAUCUCCAAAAGCCAGAAGCCAGGAGCACCAGUCCGUUAUAAUGCAGACACCAACCCAAUGAUACACGCACACAUUGACCAUACCUAUUUUUUGUCGGGUACUCAUGUACAGCUAUAUAUGCACAAGGCAAUGCAAUGAAUAUUAAUGUGUGGCAAGUUAUCUCUACUAGUUUCUACGGUCCAACUUAGUGCAUAAUGGAACCACGCUACUAAAUGGAGCUGUAAGUUUAAUAAGCCUUAUAAUGAGGAUAAGUUGAAUAUGCUGGCUUCUCAAAAACUGAAGUACCGUCCAUGCUAAGUAAUGGUAAUAGGACUCAUCUGGUAAGUUUAAGCUUAUAAUGAACUUUCACCCUAACCCACCAAUGCUCUCUAAAACAGAAUCAACUUCUCCUUCAAAAGGGAAGGGACCUUGAUGACUUCUUACUAUCGACCCUCAUUGCAGAAUACAGUUACAGUAAAUUUCUGGAUUAGGUAACAAUUAUGAUGCCACCAGUUGUAGAGGACAGCAGUUUGUUCUAGCCGGUUGAACAUUAUCUAAGUUCAAUCCGUAGAUCAGUAGAUAUGAGGUGCACCAAUGGAAGGCAGCGCUUAAUACAUGUACAACACAUGCCUUGUUUCGCAACAGUUUGCACAAAACAAUUUAUGAAAAGCAACGUCAUGGAUAACUUGCCUGGUCCUUGUCAACUAAAACAGCACGUACACCUUCAACAAAAUCAUUUCUAACCGACGACCUCAAAGCAAUGCGAUAUUCCAUUUUCAUAACACCAGCCAGCUGAAACAUGCCAAAAAACCAGAAAUAUCAAUAAAUAUAUAAAUAGUUCAUAAACAAUUUAAAACGUUCAGUUUCAUACAUGAUACUAGAUUCAUACCUUAGCUAAAUAGUGUUCACUAUUCCCGUACGCUGAUGCAACUUGAGAGAAAUGCCUUUGUGUUAAACAAAGAGAAAAUGGAGCACCUUUCUUAAUUCCUGCUAAAGCUUCAUUGGCCCAUUCUGCCACUGCAACCACCAAAGGAACAUGUAGGUGCAUAAAAAUUCUUAAAUAGCACACAGAAAGUAGGGCCAUUUUCAAAUAAAAGCAGUUGCCAUUUGUGUGAUAAAUAUAAGUGCUGCCUUUGGUGCACUAAAAGGGAAUGCUUCAUAAAAGGUUACCUGCAGCAUCACCACUUUGACUACGCUUCUUUAGCUCUUCCACAGAUUCAGCAACUGACUUAUCAGGACUGAAAGAAGAAAUGAUAUGUGGUAAAAGCUUUUCUAGUUGUGGCUCAGAUUCUGGUGCUUUCUUGUAUCCUGUCAGGACUGACUCAACGUCUCUGUGAGGAUCAUUUGUACUGCACAAGAACUUUGGAUAUCAACAUCAAAAGAUACAGAUGUGCAAACAGUUAUUGCACCAUGAGCUAUAAGAUACAUGCACGAGGAAACAGAAAAAAAAAUGUGGUUUUAACAUAUUAAGUAUGUUUUUCACCAAGUAAAGAUAAGGAACAUACAAGUUAGCACUCAAGAGGGAUUCCUUCAGAGACCCCAAAUUUCCAGAAGGUAUAUAGUGAGUACCAAGGCCUAUGAAUAGAGCAUCAGCAGGUGAUGAUAUCCUUUUUCCUGUAAUCCCAAGGUAAGCUCCUGAAAGAAGCAUAAGUGGUCUACGAUGAGAAGGAAAAUAGAAGCAUUCAGUACCAGAGAAAACAGGUGUACCCGUUUGGGAACAACUAACUUUCUCUAGAUUUUGUGAUAGUAGGGAAGGCCAUAACAAUGUCAUGACUCAUGCUGAUCAAACAGAAAAAAAAACCCUAUAACUAACAGUUUACAUAUUAAGAUGAUGAGCAAUUGCUAACUAAAUCUGAAGCCAAUUUUAGAACAAUAACAGAGACUGCUGAGAGCAAACAAAGCAAGGUGGUUAGAAGAUCAAACAUGGAAUGCAUGUGCAGAUCAGACUUGUACUCAGAACAAAAUUUUCAUGGAAUGCAUGAGGAAGGAGAGGAUAUCAAAGGCUAAAUACUAUGUGUUUUAUGCUACAUAUGGAAAAGAAUAUGCCAAUGAGGAAAUAAGUAGAGCAGUAGACAUUAGUUUACCAAUCAAUGCAACAAGGAAAAAGAAAGGAUUGUACCAACUGCACCCCCUCCUGGGGCUUUUGCACCAAUGUAAGCAAAGCCAACAUCUGGGAACAGGCCAAUACCAUUUUCAGGCA
Long non-coding RNA from Panicum virgatum (switchgrass), 2852 nucleotides. RefSeq lists it as uncharacterized. The record is from RefSeq and is a predicted model, not a curated record. Lineage: Eukaryota; Viridiplantae; Streptophyta; Magnoliopsida; Poales; Poaceae. The transcript is spliced from 2 exons.